RNAcentral lists this long non-coding RNA (1958 nucleotides) under Monodelphis domestica (gray short-tailed opossum). Its description in RNAcentral is "lncRNA (ENSMODG00000044480.1)". The record is from RNAcentral. Lineage: Eukaryota; Metazoa; Chordata; Mammalia; Didelphimorphia; Didelphidae.
AAAUAUAUUUAAAUUUAAAAAUAUAAAUAAAUCACAUUAAAGAAAUUUAAAUUUAAUUUCCAAAGCAAUCAAUAUUAUUUAAAAUAAGUAAAUUACAUUAAAGAAAUUUAAAUUUAAGCAUAUAAAUAAAUCACAUUAAAGAAAUUUAAAUUUAAUUUCCAAAGCAAUCAAUAUUAUUUAAAAUAAGUAAAUUACAUUAAAGAAAUUUAAAUUAAAAAAUAUAAAUAAAUCACAUUAAGGAAAUGUAAAUUUCAUUUCAAAAAUAAUCAAUAUUAUUUAAAAUAAAUUACAUUAAAGAAAUUUAAAUUUAAAAAUAAAUAAAUCACAUUAAGGAAAUUUAAAUUUAAUUUCAAAAAUAAUCAAUAUUAUUUAAAAUAAAUUACAUUAAAGAAAUUUAAAUUUAAAAAUAUAAAUAAAUCACAUUAAGGAAAUUUAAAUUAAAUUUUAAAAUAAAUAAUAAAUAUCACUUGAAUGAAUAAAUUAAAGAAACUCACAUUAAAUUUAAAAAAUAAAUUAAAAAUAAAUAAAUUUUCCUUAAAUAAUAAAUAAAAUAAAUAAAUGAUAAAACUCCAGGACAAGUCAGGAGGUGCUGGAAUUAGAAAUCCCCCAAAAGCAGGUGGAGAAAGGGCCAAGCAGUCAUCGCCAGAUAAGGCACUGAAUUCACUGAGAUUUGUGUUUCCUUCCUGUCCUUUGAAUCUAAAUGAGAAACAUACUGAGAGUCAUAAAAACUCCCCGUCCUUCCUUUUCAGUUGCAAUGGAACUCAUUGCCGAAGAGGAGGCAUUCGAGGCCUGUCCCAAACGGAACAUGGCACCAGAGAGGCGUCAUUUUGGUGACUGGACUGGAGGGGAUCCAUCGAUGGCAAAGAAAAAGAGAGCGAUGACUGCAACGGCGAGCGGGACCGGGGGCUGGCCAGGAAAGACUUUCUCCCUGAUGAAGCUAUUGUGGACCUUCCUAAAGUCAUGCAUUGGCCUGGAGAUUAAAAGCUGGAAGAGCCCUUGGAAGCUAUUGAAUCUGUCUCUCGUUUUACAGACAUGGAAACUGAGGCACAGUAGGUUACAUGGUCUCUCCAAAGUCACAAAUCUCUAAAGUGUCAGAGGUUGACACACAUAAAUCAUUCUUCAAACAAGCUGGGACAUCCUUCAGGAAAUGUAAGACCGGAAAAGAGGGUGGCUGAACUACUGUAAUAGCCUCUUUCAAUGGUUUCUCCGCCUCAACUUUCUCUUUUCUUCAGUCUAUCCUCCAUAGAGUUGUCAAAGUAAUAUUCCUGAAUCUCAGGUGCGCUCAGGUCACUCUCCUGCUUCAUAAACUCCAGUAGCUCCCUAUGACACCUCAGAUAAAAUAUAAAUUGUGCUCUUUGGCAUUUAAAGCCUUUUGAAACCUGACUCUGACCUAUCUUCCCUCGCAUGAUUGGCUAGAGUUAGGAGAUUUCAGAACUGAUUUAACUCAAAUGUUCCAUUUAGUAGAAAAGGAAAAAGACCCCAGAGGUUAAAUGACUUUCUGGAGGUCACCAAGGUAGCAAGGGGGUAGCAGUAGGAUUUGAAUUCUCCAAAUCCAUUGCUUUCUUCCUAUCAUGAGGCAGUUUCAUUAUGCAUCACCCCCCUCUAUGCAUUCUUGGUUCUGGUCAAACUAGUCUUGGAAUAUGGAUUCCAUCUCCUACCAUUGGGCCUUUGCAAAGACUGUCUGUUUCCUGUACCUGAAAUGAAUUCCCUCACUUGAGCCUCUUAUAAUAUAUAACUUCCUUUAAAGAAUUACUUGAAAGUCACCUCCUAUGUGAAACUUAAUUUUCUUUUCCUCCAGCUAUUAAUAUUCAGCCUGCCCCAAAUUAUCUUGUAUUCUUUUGAAUAUGCUUCAUAUACUAUUUUCUCUGAUAGAAUGUAGGCUCCUGAAUUCCUGGGCUCACAGAUCAAGAGCCAUAAGCGUCCUUAAAGGAAAUAAAGUCCAGCUUCCUCAUUUUACA